UCGGGUGACAGGGAGACAGGUGGUGCAUGGUUGUCGUCAGCUCGUGUCGUGAGAUGUUGGGUUAAGUCCCGCAACGAGCGCAACCCCUAUUGUUAGUUGCCAUCAUUCAGUUGGGCACUCUAGCGAGACUGCCGGUAAUAAACCGGAGGAAGGUGGGGAUGACGUCAAAUCAUCAUGCCCCUUAUGACCUGGGCUACACACGUGCUACAAUGGUUGGUACAACGAGUUGCGAGUCGGUGACGGCGAGCUAAUCUCUUAAAGCCAAUCUCAGUUCGGAUUGUAGGCUGCAACUCGCCUACAUGAAGUCGGAAUCGCUAGUAAUCGCGGAUCAGCACGCCGCGGUGAAUACGUUCCCGGGCCUU
Molecule: ribosomal RNA, 362 nt
Filed under: uncultured Streptococcus sp.
Lineage: Bacteria; Bacillati; Bacillota; Bacilli; Lactobacillales; Streptococcaceae
Description: bacterial SSU rRNA
Rfam family: Bacterial small subunit ribosomal RNA
Source: RNAcentral